AUUGAACGCUGGCGGAAUGCUUUACACAUGCAAGUCGAACGGCAGCACGGACUUCGGUCUGGUGGCGAGUGGCGAACGGGUGAGUAAUAUAUCGGAACGUGCCCAGUCGUGGGGGAUAACGUAGUGAAAAUUACGCUAAUACCGCAUACGAUCUAUGGAUGAAAGCGGGGGAUCGCAAGACCUCGCGCGAUUGGAGCGGCCGAUAUCAGAUUAGGUAGUUGGUGAGGUAAAGGCUCACCAAGCCAACGAUCUGUAGCUGGUCUGAGAGGACGACCAGCCACACUGGAACUGAGACACGGUCCAGACUCCUACGGGAGGCAGCAGUGGGGAAUUUUGGACAAUGGACGCAAGUCUGAUCCAGCCAUUCCGCGUGCAGGACGAAGGCCUUCGGGUUGUAAACUGCUUUUGUACAGAACGAAAAGCUCUGGGUUAAUACCCUGGGGUCAUGACGGUACUGUAAGAAUAAGCACCGGCUAACUACGUG
Molecule: ribosomal RNA, 484 nt
Filed under: uncultured bacterium
Lineage: Bacteria
Description: bacterial SSU rRNA
Rfam family: Bacterial small subunit ribosomal RNA
Source: RNAcentral